Molecule: non-coding RNA, 1434 nt
Organism: Zalophus californianus (California sea lion)
Lineage: Eukaryota; Metazoa; Chordata; Mammalia; Carnivora; Otariidae
Source: the annotation of a RefSeq genome assembly
UACCUUGUCACUGGGGAGCCAGCCAGGCCAACAGGAUGCCACUCCUGAAAGCAGUCAUCUUCUCCUGCCUCUGGGCCUUUGGCCUUGGGCAGGUGAAAUUGGAGCAACCUGAAAUAUCAAUUUCCAGAGCAAGAGAUAAGAGUGCCCAUAUAUCAUGCAAGGUGUUCACUCAGGACUUUAAAAAUAAAGUAAUACAUUGGUACCGGCAGAAACCAGAUCAGGAGAUAGAACAUCUAACAUAUACCCACGAAAGCUCUGUUCAAGUUUCUUUAGGUGGGAAGAAAAACAAACUUGAAGCAAGUAAAAAUGCUCAUACUUCCACUUCAACCUUGAAUGUAAAUUUCUUAGAGCAAGAAGACGAGGCCAUGUACUACUGUGCCUGCUGGAGUAGACUAGGGCUUUGUAACAGUCUGGAUCCUGAUGUUUGCACAAGGAACUAAGCUCAUAGUAACUCCCCCAGAUAGAAGCCUUGAUGCAGACAUUUCUCCCAAGCCCACAAUUUUCCUUCCUUCAAUUGCUGAAAGAAGACUUCAUAAGGCUGGAACAUAUCUUUGUCUCCUUGAGGACUUUUUCCCUGAUGUUAUUAAGAUAGAUUGGAAAGAAAGGGAUGACGAAACAAUUCUGAAAUCACAGCAGGGAGACACCAUGAAGACUAAUAACACAUACAUGAAAUUCAGCUGGCUGACCGUGACUGGAGCAUCAGUGGAUAAAGAACACAAAUGUAUUGUCAAACACGAGCGGAAUAAAGGAGGAGUUGAUCAAGAGAUUCUAUUUCCUUCACAGAAAAAAGAGCUCACUGCUCUGGAUUCUACAGAAAUUGAAGAAGCCACCCUGCAGCUACAGCUCAAGACCACUUCUGCCUACUACACCUACCUCCUCCUCUUCUUCAAGAGCCUGAUCUACUCCACCAUCAUCACCUUCUAUCUGUUUGGGAGACCAGCACUCUAUGGCAAUGGGAAGAGUUCCUAACACAUGGUGGCACCAAGGGUCCACUUGUCUCCAUUGGCUAUUGUUCCUAAAAACGUCUGCUGAGAAUCUAGUUGGGGCUUGCUUUCUUGGUUUGGGUUAUUUCAGUUCAAAUGUGUCUUCUUCCCUUGUGUCAUUAUUGCAGAACAGGUUUCCAAACCACUGUUUCCAAACAGAAACUUUCACUCUGCCAAAAGAACAAAUUCUGCCAUGACCCAGGGGUGGGGCUAGGGGGCCAUCCAUAGGGGCUUCAGCACCUCUCUCCUUAAUGUCCGCCAGCUCCUCAGGCACCUAGUCCCCAUGCCUCUGAGUAUAGCCCACAUGCAACUUCUAGUCAUGUCCCCUGGGGCUCCUUCCCCAGAUAACUACCUGGAAGCCUUUUAUUCUGCACAUCCAGAAGCUGCAAUCUUUGCUGCCUGAAUUUUGUACUGUUUUACAAAAUAGGCAUAAUAAAAACAAUUAAAUGUC